GGCUCAGGAUGAACGCUAGCGGCAGGCCUAAUACAUGCAAGUCGGACGGGAUUGAGAAGCUUGCUUUUCAUGAGAGUGGCGCACGGGUGCGUAACACGUAUGUAACCUACCUUGUUCAGGGGGAUAGCCUCUCGAAAGAGAGAUUAAGACCGCAUAACAUCACCGGGCAGCAUUGCUUGGUGAUCAAAUAUUUAUAGGAACAAGAUGGGCAUGCGGGACAUUAGCUAGUUGGCGGGGUAACGGCCCACCAAGGCGACGAUGUCUAGGGGAUCUGAGAGGAUGACCCCCCACACUGGUACUGAGACACGGACCAGACUCCUACGGGAGGCAGCAGUAAGGAAUAUUGGUCAAUGGGCGAAAGCCUGAACCAGCCAUGCCGCGUGCAGGAAGACGGCCCUACGGGUUGUAAACUGCUUUUGCAGGGGAAUAAACCCCGGUACGUGUACCGGGCUGAAUGUACUCUGAGAAUAAGGAUCGGCUAACUCCGUGCCAGCAGCCGCGGUAAUACGGAGGAUCCAAGCGUUAUCCGGAUUUAUUGGGUUUAAAGGGUGCGUAGGCGGCCUAUUAAGUCAGGGGUGAAAGACGGUAGCUUAACUAUCGCAGUGCCUUUGAUACUGAUGGGCUUGAAUACACUAGAGGUAGGCGGAAUGUGACAAGUAGCGGUGAAAUGCAUAGAUAUGUCACAGAACACCAAUUGCGAAGGCAGCUUACUAUGGUGUGAUUGACGCUGAGGCACGAAAGCGUGGGGAUCAAACAGGAUUAGAUACCCUGGUAGUCCACGCCCUAAACGAUGAACACUCGAUGUUAGCGAUAUACAGUUAGCGUCUAAGCGAAAGCGUUAAGUGUUCCACCUGGGGAGUACGCCCGCAAGGGUGAAACUCAAAG
RNAcentral lists this ribosomal RNA (885 nucleotides) under uncultured bacterium. RNAcentral's name for it is "bacterial SSU rRNA". It matches the Rfam family "Bacterial small subunit ribosomal RNA", at positions 21 to 906 of the family's 1533-position model. The record is from RNAcentral.